CAAGACGUAGCUUAGCAAAAGCAUUCAGCUUACGCCUGAAAGAUAUCUGUUCACACCAGAUCGUCUUGA
This 69-nucleotide transfer RNA is filed under the name Phylloscopus inornatus (yellow-browed warbler). RNAcentral's name for it is "Abrornis inornata (yellow-browed warbler) tRNA-Val". It matches the Rfam family "tRNA". Rfam says of the family: Transfer RNA (tRNA) molecules are approximately 80 nucleotides in length. The record is from RNAcentral. Lineage: Eukaryota; Metazoa; Chordata; Aves; Passeriformes; Phylloscopidae.